RNAcentral lists this ribosomal RNA (365 nucleotides) under uncultured eukaryote. RNAcentral's name for it is "partial 18S ribosomal RNA". It matches the Rfam family "Eukaryotic small subunit ribosomal RNA", at positions 592 to 975 of the family's 1831-position model. The record is from RNAcentral.
CAAUAGCGUAUAUUAAAGUUGUUGCAGUUAAAAAGCUCGUAGUUGAAUUUCUGGCGGGCGCGCCGGUCUUCCAAGUGUUGUACUGGGCGCAGUCCGCCAUCCUUGUGGAGAGGGCUCGCAUUGAGUUGCGUGUCGGAUCUGCAUCAUUUACUGUGAAAAAAUUAGAGUGUUUAAAGCAGGCUAUCGCUUGAAUACAUUAGCAUGGAAUAAUAAGAUAGGACUUCGGUCUAUUUUGUUGGUUGCGAACCGAGGUAAUGAUUAAUAGGGAUAGUUGGGGGUAUUCAUAUUUAAUUGUCAGAGGUGAAAUUCUUGGAUUUAUGAAAGAUGAACAACUGCGAAAGCAUUUACCAAGGAUGUUUNCAUUA